This is a long non-coding RNA of Mytilus californianus (California mussel), 356 nucleotides long. RefSeq lists it as uncharacterized. The transcript is spliced from 2 exons. The record is from RefSeq and is a predicted model, not a curated record. NCBI's taxonomy places the organism in Eukaryota, Metazoa, Mollusca, Bivalvia, Mytilida, Mytilidae.
AAUAUGCACACGUAAAGAGUAUAAAUAUACGUGUAUUAAAAGAGCUAUACACAUCUAUACUUGCAAUUGCAUAUCAAGCGAUACCCAAAGAGAUAAACUUAUACCAUGAAUGUGUUCUGUCAAAAAGUUAUUGUUGUCGUAUACAUGGCUGCGGUAUUAGUGGCCAGCUUAGUACAGGCCAGAUACGUCGAACCUGGAGAGAAAGAAGGUUAUGAAACUUAAACAAUUGAAAAGUUUGACAUUGGUGUAAAGACAGAAGUCUAUGAGAUAUAAUGGAAAAUGGUGAAAAUUGGUAGCCUUAGAAGACUAAAUUUUUUUUUAUCUUAUUUAAAAAAUAAAGCAUAUUUUUUAGAAAC